RNAcentral lists this long non-coding RNA (421 nucleotides) under Homo sapiens (human). RNAcentral's name for it is "HSALNT0220663". Lineage: Eukaryota; Metazoa; Chordata; Mammalia; Primates; Hominidae. The record is from RNAcentral.
GACUGCUCACACUGCUGCCCCAGAACAUCCAGAAACAGAUCCGAGAAUCACUGCUCUGUUCAUUCCACGAGUGUCUGUCAAGUGAAACUUCCAAGUCACUAUGCUGGGUACCAUGGAGGAGACGGAGACAUUCAGGAGAUAAGCCCAAAUCUCAUGGACCUUUCAAUGAGGCAUGAAAAAAAGGACAGGUGCACCAAUCAUCAAAGAUAGAAACCCCUAAGGAAGGUAAAAGUAAAGCCUGAGGGAUCUCAGGUGAGGGAGGUAAUGAGUCAGCUGAGGGACUCAGCAUGGUGUUAUGGAGAAGGUGGACCUUGACCUUGGCUUUGAAGGAUGUGUAAUAUUUGAUUAUGUGGAAUAAGGGGAAAGUGUGGUGGUGUGAAAGCACAUCCAGGGAGGGUACUGUAAAGGGAGAAUAUCAGAA